RNAcentral lists this long non-coding RNA (1216 nucleotides) under Ornithorhynchus anatinus (platypus). RNAcentral's name for it is "lncRNA (ENSOANG00000045212.1)". Lineage: Eukaryota; Metazoa; Chordata; Mammalia; Monotremata; Ornithorhynchidae. The record is from RNAcentral.
AGCCAUUCCAGUUUCAAAGAGCCUAGUAUUUUCCUUUUAUGAGACAUUUUCUGUAUUGGUUUUCAGUAUUUUUUGCAGCUUGAUAUUCAUGUUUCUCGUAUGUUCUUUCUUGCUCCUUUCUUCUUUUUCUUAAACCAAUAGUUGACAUGGCAAUAAGAACCCUCCUAGGAGAAAGCCAUUGUUCAACUCAGUUUGGGCACUACUAAUCCAGUCGCUAGAGCAGAGACGACCCAGCAGGCCUCUCAGUUAUUACAUAUCCUGGAAACUUGGCAUUUUAAAUCCAAAGCUGUAAGCCACUUCUUGCUAAAGUGUAGAACAGUUCAAUUCUGGGAUUUCUGUUCUGGGUCAAAUCUAGAUCCGAAUUGAAUCAGCAACUCUGAGAAGAAGAGAAGGAGCAUUUGGGGCUCCUGCUGAUUUUGAAACGAAUUACAAGACCGAAGAAAGCAACACCGAGAUCGGUGAUAUGUUUUGAAAAAUGGCAGAGCGAAGUAGAAAAGAGCCUUCCCCAUGGCCUCAGGUGAACCCUGUUGGAAGUGUGAAUGUAAGAGAAUCACCAUUCUGAAAUACCAGUCAUUUGGUCCUCCUGACAGACCGUCUUUAUGGUCCAGUUGGAGACUAGCUCUCUGAUGCAGUCAUUUGACGUUUACUGAAUCCUCAGGACGGACUUUGUGGACCACCAGGUUGGAGCAACUCGGAUGCAGGCGUGCCCUUCCCCCACACCACCAGGCCCAGAGUACCGAGGUCCGGCAUCUCCCUUCCAUCCCCUGCUCCAAGUGGCACCUGAGCAGGUCUUUGGACAGCUGCAAUGGAGACGUGUAGGAACCGUUUGCAGUUGUUCCUGUUUUUCUUGGCUUUCUUCAGUGUCCAAAAGCCAACUGGAUAUUGUUCUUUCUGUCUCUGGGUUGGUGGGAGAUCCAAGCGAGGAGAGAAAUUGAGGCGAGUUUUUGCCUUGGCCCCGAAUGGCUGGGUGUCAGAACGACGGCCGAUCCUCGGUCCUGACACCGAGGAUGGAGUAAGACUUCUGGGGGCUGGCCGGGGCGGGCGUGGGGGAGGGGAGGGGUCUUCCACAAAAUUCAGCUCCUGCUGUCUGUAUCAGCGAUCUGGUCUAGCUGGAUGUAUUUUUGUUGCAUUUUCCCAAGGAGGUCGCAGCAUUUGUCGCUAUGAAAUAAAGAACAAGAAUGCACCAUCUACUUGCAUUAGAUCCGCAUUUACCUGC